GAUGAAGAACGUAGCGAAAUGCGAUAAGUAAUGUGAAUUGCAGAAUUCAGUGAAUCAUCGAGUCUUUGAACGCACAUUGCGCCCCCUGGUAUUCCGGGGGGCAUGCCUGUCCGAGCGUCAUUGCUGUCCUCAAGCACGGCUUGUGUGUUGGGCCGUCGUCCCCCUCCUAGGGGACGGGCCCGAAAGGCAGCGGCGGCACCGCGUCCGGUCCUCGAGCGUAUGGGGCUUCGUCACCCGCUCCGUAGGCCCGGCCGGCGCUUGCCGACGACCAUCAAUCUCUUUCUCCAGGUUGACCUCGGAUCAGGUAGGGAUACCCGCUGAACUUAAGCAUAUCAAUAAGCGGAGGA
This 347-nucleotide unclassified non-coding RNA is filed under the name soil metagenome. Its description in RNAcentral is "partial contains 5.8S ribosomal RNA, internal transcribed spacer 2, and large subunit ribosomal RNA". The stretch from base 1 to 120 matches the Rfam family "5.8S ribosomal RNA", at positions 35 to 154 of the family's 154-position model. The record is from RNAcentral.